UACGAAGGGGGCUAGCGUUGUUCGGAAUUACUGGGCGUAAAGGGCGCGUAGGCGGUGUGUCAAGUCAGGCGUGAAAGCCCCGGGCUCAACCUGGGAACUGCAUCCGAGACUGCAUUGCUAGAGUAUGGGAGAGGGAAGCGGAAUUUCUGGUGUAGCAGUGAAAUGCGUAGAUAUCAGAAGGAACAUCAGUGGCGAAGGCGGCUUCCUGGACCAAUACUGACGAUCAGGUGCGAAAGCGUGGGGAGCAAACAGG
RNAcentral lists this ribosomal RNA (253 nucleotides) under uncultured bacterium. Its description in RNAcentral is "partial 16S ribosomal RNA". It matches the Rfam family "Bacterial small subunit ribosomal RNA", at positions 524 to 776 of the family's 1533-position model. The record is from RNAcentral.